UGCCGCCUCCCGAGAUUCCGAGCGCGGCGACAAGCAGAUUUCCUUGGAUGUCUCCUUGCCCCUACCGUGCUCGAUUUCAUUCAAAGGCUUCAGGACCUAUUUGUGCUUUCAGAUGAAGACUGAAUGCACGUGCAAAUACGAUCAGGAUGCAAUCGAGGAAUAUACGGGACUAUUUCUGCAAUUGUUGUCCCUCCCUAACUCCGUUGAGUCGAUAACCAUAUCAUCCUGUGAUGUA
Molecule: long non-coding RNA, 235 nt
Organism: Triticum dicoccoides
Lineage: Eukaryota; Viridiplantae; Streptophyta; Magnoliopsida; Poales; Poaceae
Exons: 3
Source: RefSeq, a predicted model, not a curated record